AUAAAGCAGUUGGAUGAAGACCUCCUUACUUGACGCAAGUCUUUUGGAAUAAAAAUCCAAUUAAUGUUAGUUCGUCAAGACCUUAUAAUGGAGGGGUGAUACAUCCUUGAUUUUCUUCGCUAUCCUGCACAAGAUGGGACCAACCAUAUGUGUUUUAACAUCAUCGACAAUAUCGUCACCGAAUUUCAGAGGAAUGGUAUUGAUAAGGGUUUCUUGAAUAGCGGGGAGGAAUAAAGGAGGAAGACAGCUUACCUGUAGUUACUACUGACACAGGUAAUUCCUUCUUUCAACAACAAGCCAACCAGCAACCAGCUCACAAGUUGUCAAAAGUUAUAUUUUAUAUGGAAGUAUAAACUUAAAUUAAAGCGAGAUAUUUUAA
Macrobrachium nipponense is the source of this 379-nucleotide long non-coding RNA. RefSeq lists it as uncharacterized. The record is from RefSeq and is a predicted model, not a curated record. NCBI's taxonomy places the organism in Eukaryota, Metazoa, Arthropoda, Malacostraca, Decapoda, Palaemonidae. The transcript is spliced from 2 exons.